GACCGUGCAGAACUUCGAUACACUGUUACCAAAUGUCGUUAUACAGUAACCACUCAUCGUCAAGAUGGUAAUAACGUACAUACUGUCUCCGUCGAAAUAGGAACGGAAAAUCAUUUUCCAGGUAAGUUAGUAAUUCUUUUCUUUUGGAAUUAAAACUUUAUAGAUCCUAAAUUAUUAUCGACAUCCCGCUCAUACAUAUUAAAUAGAAAGCGGGUAUCAUGUACUUAUGUUUACUAUGAACUUUGCUUAGCUUGAACGAAUGCUAGUUGCACAGGAGAGAAGCAAAAAAUGGCAGUAGUGGGUAUAAUUGUAACGUCAGAUGAAGAUGAUUGCAUAUGCGUCAUAGGUUGUGACACUUACAGCAACAACAAACCCAAGGGAAAGUGGGUGCAGUGCCAAGAAUGUAGGCAGUGGGCAUAUAUCACCUGUGUUGCAAGACCUGUGGAUACUACAUUUAUUUGUCAGAACUGCGAGAGCAAGAUGAGUGACAGUAUGUAGAAUUACAUUAUUGAUAAGCUUUAAUCCAAACCACUGAAUCCUAAAUAUCUGUAUUUUUGUUAUUAAUAUUUCCUUUGCAAUUUUUUUAAUAAAAAUCUUUGUGAGAGACCACUUUUUCUGAGCCUUCUGUCUUUAUAUAGAUUUGUUACAACUUUCUCUACUUGAUGUUACAACUAUACCCA
RNAcentral lists this long non-coding RNA (680 nucleotides) under Androctonus crassicauda. Lineage: Eukaryota; Metazoa; Arthropoda; Arachnida; Scorpiones; Buthidae. The record is from RNAcentral.